UACGUAGGGUGCAAGCGUUGUCCGGAAUUAUUGGGCGUAAAGAGCUCGUAGGCGGUUUGUCGCGUCUGCUGUGAAAACGCGAGGCUCAACCUCGCGCCUGCAGUGGGUACGGGCAGACUGGAGUGCGGUAGGGGAGAUUGGAAUUCCUGGUGUAGCGGUGAAAUGCGCAGAUAUCAGGAGGAACACCGGUGGCGAAGGCGGGUCUCUGGGCCGUAACUGACGCUGAGGAGCGAAAGCGUGGGGAGCGAACAGG
This 253-nucleotide ribosomal RNA is filed under the name uncultured bacterium. Its description in RNAcentral is "partial 16S ribosomal RNA". It matches the Rfam family "Bacterial small subunit ribosomal RNA", at positions 524 to 776 of the family's 1533-position model. The record is from RNAcentral.